Molecule: ribosomal RNA, 709 nt
Filed under: uncultured bacterium
Lineage: Bacteria
Description: bacterial SSU rRNA
Rfam family: Bacterial small subunit ribosomal RNA
Source: RNAcentral
AGCGGCGGACGGGUGAGUAACGCGUGGGUAACCUGCCCUAUACACACGGAUAACAUACCGAAAGGUAUGCUAAUACGAGAUAAUAUAAGAGAUUCGCAUGGAUUUCUUAUCAAAGCUGAGGCGGUAUAGGAUGGACCCGCGUCCGAUUAGCUAGUUGGUAAGGUAACGGCUUACCAAGGCGACGAUCAGUAGCCGACCUGAGAGGGUGAUCGGCCACAUUGGAACUGAGACACGGUCCAAACUCCUACGGGAGGCAGCAGUGGGGAAUAUUGCACAAUGGGCGAAAGCCUGAUGCAGCAACGCCGCGUGAGUGAUGAAGACCUUCGGGUCGUAAAACUCUGUCCUCAAGGAAGAUAAUGACGGUACUUGAGGAGGAAGCCCCGGCUAACUACGUGCCAGCAGCCGCGGUAAUACGUAGGGGGCUAGCGUUAUCCGGAUUUACUGGGCGUAAAGGGUGCGUAGGUGGUCUCUUAAGUCAGGAGUGAAAGGCUACGGCUUAACCGUAGUAAGCUCUUGAAACUGGGAGACUUGAGUGCAAGAGAGGAAAGUGGAAUUCCUAGUGUAGCGGUGAAAUGCGUAGAUAUUAGGAGGAACACCAGUAGCGAAGGCGGCUUUCUGGACUGUAACUGACACUGAGGCACGAAAGCGUGGGGAGCAAACAGGAUUAGAUACCCUGUAGUCCACGCCGUAAACGAUGAGUACUAGGUGU